AACUUUCAACAACGGAUCUCUUGGUUCUGGCAUCGAUGAAGAACGCAGCGAAAUGCGAUAAGUAAUGUGAAUUGCAGAAUUCAGUGAAUCAUCGAAUCUUUGAACGCACAUUGCGCCCGCCAGCAUUCUGGCGGGCAUGCCUGUCCGAGCGUCAUU
RNAcentral lists this ribosomal RNA (156 nucleotides) under Ophiocordyceps sobolifera. RNAcentral describes it as "5.8S rRNA". It matches the Rfam family "5.8S ribosomal RNA". From Rfam's summary of the family: 5.8S ribosomal RNA (5.8S rRNA) is a component of the large subunit of the eukaryotic ribosome. It is transcribed by RNA polymerase I as part of the 45S precursor that also contains 18S and 28S rRNA. Functionally, it is thought that 5.8S rRNA may be involved in ribosome translocation. The record is from RNAcentral. Lineage: Eukaryota; Fungi; Ascomycota; Sordariomycetes; Hypocreales; Ophiocordycipitaceae.